Molecule: long non-coding RNA, 553 nt
Organism: Acromyrmex echinatior (Panamanian leafcutter ant)
Lineage: Eukaryota; Metazoa; Arthropoda; Insecta; Hymenoptera; Formicidae
Source: RefSeq, a predicted model, not a curated record
UCGCGUGCACCCUUGUACUAGGUACUCCAUCGCGGCUAGAUACUCCAUGCCGGGCAGAUGGAAGCGGAUAUAUUUGCACCAAUCGUCGAGGCAGCAACGAUCGAUGCGGAACGGCCGAGGAUCGAUUUCAAUUUAGCGACCGUUUAAGCGUGCACGCUCGCGGCUAACGAGCUUUCGAAAGUCGUAGAUAUCCGACAAGUUGGCCUACGGGGGCAGUCCCGCCGCGGCUCACAACCACCCGGCAGAAACUUACCGCAGUCAGGCGGCAUAUUACACAGGCUCACGGACACGCGCGCGGUUUCGCCUGGCGGACGUUUAUGUGGCGUCCAGGAUCGUAGUGCGGAGCUUUUGCAAUGGAGGAGUCAGUGGCGUGUGGUUCCCAUUGUAGAGAUUAGAGAGAUCAGCAUAUCCACCUGAGAAACGGAUUUACAUUCGGCAACUAGAUUUACACAUUACGCUUUCUUUCUGCGAAUCACUUUCGUGCAAAAGAAAGUUUCUUUUUUUAUAUUGUAUUUCUUGAAGGAUCGAUGUCACUGUAAUAGAAUGUAAGUAC